UAUCUGUAUCUAUGUAUCUGCGUGUCUGUAUCUGCGCCUGUCCGCCGACUGCGCUGCAACCGAGCCGAGCGAACCCAACCGCCUUGUGUCAAAGUGAACAGCAAAUAUUAUUUUUUGGACACUUUGCCAUCAGGUCGCCGUCGCGUACUCGUACUCGUCCUCGUCCUCGUCCUGCUCCCCGUUCUCGGUGGCCAUUGUCCUGCGGAGCUCCUGGAGUUCCAGUGCCCGUUGUCGCAUUCGAGGUCCGACUGUGGGUCCCGGAGCCACGGCCUUUGUCUGCGGCGGCAGAGUGCACCAAUUGUGUUUAAUUGAAUCCGACAACAAAAGCCAGAAACGCUGCAAAAGAGAACCCAAAAGUAUUCCAAAAAGUAUGCCCAAAGUAUAAAAAGAUAAUGGAAGAAGUGGCUGUAAAUCAAGAAGAGCCGGUUCGGGUUCGUUUGUUGCCAAAAAUACAAGAAUUAAUUAUAAUAAUGACAAAGAACAAGCACUUCGACGACCCCACUCCGCGUCCGCAUCCGCAUUCGCAUCCGCAUCCGCGCGCGUUCGGUUGGCCAAUUGUGAAUAUGGAUUACAAUUUCGCGUGUGCGAGCUGAGGAAACAAAAAAAAAAUAUGGAAAAUGGAAAAAAGCAAAGGAAAAAAUGAAUCUACCAGUAUUUCCGCCUUGCGGUUUGGCAGCUGACGGGCCGGUGGGGCCAUUGGUGCUGCUUUGGACUGGGAUCCUCGAGUGCGCGGGGCGUGACUUCAAUUAAAGUGAUUUGUGGCCUCCGUUUCUGACAUACGAGACGUAAAUAGCGGCCCUGAAGUAUGGUGCCGCUGAAAUAUGAAUAUUGGAACGCAGUCCCCGGCCCAUCGGCCAAACAAUCGCCAGUCACGCAUCCCCACCUGAAACCGCCUCCAAGUUGGCUAAUAUAUGGGCUUCUUUCUAGAUAGCUCCCAAAAUCCCCAAACAAAAUGCCGUCGGCUGAAUCAAAUAUGUCGGCCAUACGCGUUCCCGGCGAAGAAGAAGCGGAUUUAAUGGAGCGCCAUGAUGGCCAAGCCAAAAGAAGAAGAAGAGGCGCGGAAAGAGAGGAGAGUCGAAUGCGGAAUGCCGUUGGAAUGUGUGAGAUUGGGCAGCGUAGACUGCGACGCCGGCAGCGCUGCCUCCGCAUGUCAAUGGUUGCCAAGCGACAGCGACUGCGGCGGCCAUCAUGGAUGUGAAAGAGAGCAACGCUCUCCGCGUCUCCCUCUCUCGCUCGUGCCAACAGUUCGAUAUUCCGCAGCGGUAUUCCAUAUAGCCACUCACCUGCGACGGCGGCUGUUGUGAAGUUCUUGCGAAGUGAGCGACUGAAAUUCGGAGCCCCCGAAAAACCAGAGGCCCCAACAGGACCGUCGGAGGGGGCUGGGGAAUUUCGAGGGAGUUUCUGCGACUGCGUCGUCACCCAAAAAACACGUAGAAACAAAGGACGACAAGCGGAGGAAGUUGCCCAGGUUUGAUUACACAUCGACCCCUGGAGCGAGGACUUAACCCGGCGGCAGCUGCUUCAGUUCUUCGAGGGACUCGCAGAUGGAUACUCUGGGCACUUGUCUGCGUCUUCGCGUGUGUUUGUGUGUUUUUAUAACAUUUGUGGAUUACGCCUAUAAAAACUACACCUCACCGCGGAGCCAGCGGAGGGCACCAGCUACAACAAAGGAUUACAAAUGAUCUGCGAAAAUGAUACAACCUGCGACACGAGAGAUUACAACAGAGCUGUUUUUUUUAUGGUUUGUUCCGCUUUUGUUUAACGGUCCCGAGGAUCACACGCAAUCCCACGCAAUCCACAUCCACCACCGAUGUCAGAAAAACCAGACUCAACGCAACGCAACGCAACUCGACUCAACCGAAACUCGACUCUCAUCCCCGGGAACUCAAAAUAGUGUUUUAUUGUUGAAAAUUACUCCUCUUUUAUUUAUUUACGUUUUUCUGCACUUUCUGCUGCUUACUCAUUCUCACCCAGUUUCAAUUUUUAUAUGUUUAUUACGAUUAUUAUCGUUUAAUGGGGCUCGCUGGCUCGUUAUUGCUGUUUUUGUUAUUGUUGCAGCAGUAGUUGUGUCAGACUAACGUGUGAAGUUGUUUUAUUAUUUGUUUUGAUUAUCAAAAUGGGCGUUUUACAUUUUUCCGGUCGUUGGGCGGCCCACCUGCCAUGGGCCUCCAGCUUACAGUCCAUAUCCCAUAACCCCCGGGCAAGGGCAGUAAAUCACAGCCCGCUGUGAGUGGCUGAGUAUCUGGCCGGCAGUACACUCAACAAAAAAAUAACACUUCACUUCUGAAAUUCUAGUUAAUAAUUAGCUGGUUGUUGCGGCAUAGUUGCUGGCAACUAAAUCUGAACGAUAAACUAAUUUUAAAACACCUCCAUAAAAGCUUUUACUUUAAUAUCCCAGAAAAUGUUUUUUUAAGCUCACAAUAAAAAACUAAAAAAAAUAUCUUUAAAAAUUUGUAAAUAAUUUGUAGCUAUAAUUUAAAUGACUAAAAAAGCAAUGCCAAAGAAUAUUACCAAAAACAAUAUUUUAGCGGCUAAAAUUUCUAGCCUUUACAAAAUAAUAUCGUUAAUAUCUUAAGUACAUGCCGAUUUUUUCCAGUGAUCGAGUGAGAUCAAAUGCACUCGGUGCUGGCCACUCAUUCGCACUCUCCGUAUGACCCAUAAACAUAAACCAAAGUGUGGCAAAAUGUUUAAUUUGGAAUUUAUGAGCAAUUAAUUUUAAAGCACUCGCCCGCCCGUUAACGCUGUUUCUGCCCCUCCCCUUUUGGCCACCGCCCACCCUUGGCCAUAAAAGAUUUAACAAGCCAGUGUGCCAAAAAUUGAUUGUUUAGCCAAUCCGCUGAUUGAUCAAUUAUUCAAUUGUUAUCGCCCAAGAUUUGGCAAUCACUUUUGAGCAAGGCCAGUAAAACUACGCGAAAGUCAAUUAUAAAAGAAUUAGCUGAUUGAAUGGCCAGGUGAGAAGUCAAUUAAACUGACAGGUAAUAAAAAAAUAAAUUAAAUUCAAAUAAAUAUUCUUCGGUAAAAAUAAUCUUAAGGAAGCAACAAAAAAUGUAUUUUAGAAGAUUUAAGCUGGUGGAAUUAACAUAUUAUA
Molecule: long non-coding RNA, 3088 nt
Organism: Drosophila rhopaloa
Lineage: Eukaryota; Metazoa; Arthropoda; Insecta; Diptera; Drosophilidae
Exons: 7
Source: RefSeq, a predicted model, not a curated record